UAAUCUGCCCUGAGGUCUGACAUAACCCGUCGAAAGGCGGGCUAACAUCAGAUGAUAUAUAAUCACGACAUCGUGGAAAUAUCAAAUCUUCGGAGCCUUGGGAUGAGCCUGCGUCUGAUUAGGUAGUUGGCGGAGUAAUAGCCCACCAAGCCUACGAUCAGUAGCUGGUCUGAGAGGAUGAUCAGCCACACUGGAACUGAGACACGGUCCAGACUCCUACGGGAGGCAGCAGUAAGGAAUAUUGCUCAAUGGGGGAAACCCUGAAGCAGCAACGCCGCGCGAAGGAUGAAAUACUUUGUAUGUAAACUUCUGUAAGAUGGGAAAAAUAUUCUCCUCGGGAGAAUUGAUUGUACCAUCAGAGUAAGCCCCGGCUAACUACGUG
RNAcentral lists this ribosomal RNA (382 nucleotides) under uncultured bacterium. Its description in RNAcentral is "bacterial SSU rRNA". It matches the Rfam family "Bacterial small subunit ribosomal RNA", at positions 122 to 507 of the family's 1533-position model. The record is from RNAcentral.